Molecule: ribosomal RNA, 502 nt
Filed under: uncultured bacterium
Lineage: Bacteria
Description: partial 16S ribosomal RNA
Rfam family: Bacterial small subunit ribosomal RNA
Source: RNAcentral
AUUGAACGCUGGCGGCAUGCCUUACACAUGCAAGUCGAACGGCAGCACGGGUGCUUGCACCUGGUGGCGAGUGGCGAACGGGUGAGUAAUACAUCGGAACGUACCUUAUCGUGGGGGAUAACGCAGCGAAAGCUGUGCUAAUACCGCAUACGCCCUGAGGGGGAAAGCGGGGGAUCGAAAGACCUCGCGCGAUUAGAGCGGCCGAUGCCUGAUUAGCUUGUUGGUGGGGUAAAAGCCCACCAAGGCGACGAUCAGUAGCUGGUCUGAGAGGACGAUCAGCCACGCUGGGACUGAGACACGGCCCAGACUCCUACGGGAGGCAGCAGUGGGGAAUUUUGGACAAUGGGGGGCAACCCUGAUCCAGCAAUGCCGCGUGAGUGAAGAAGGCCUUCGGUUUGUAAAGCUCUUUUGUCAGGGAAGAAACACCGGCUCUAACACAGUCCGGGAAUGACGGUACCUGAAGAAUAAGCACCGGCUAACUACGUGCCAGCAGCCGCGGUAA